CAGAACCCUCAGGUUCUGAACAAGGUGCAGCAAGAACUCGACAGCAUCGUGGGCCGGGACGCCGUCGUGGAGGAGUCCCACCUCCCGCAGCUCCACUACCUCCGCAUGGUGAUCAAGGAGACGCUCCGGCUGCACCCGCCGGUGCCCCUCUUGGUGCCGCACAGCCCGAGCGCCGCCGCGACGGUCGGCGGAUACCACGUCCCCGAGGGCUGCCGCGUGCUCAUCAACGUCUGGGCGAUCCAGCGGAACCCACUGGUCUGGAACAAGCCACUCGAUUUCAACCCGGAUAGGUUCGCCAGGGACGGCGGCCACAAGGGGGACUUCACCGGUAGCCAGCUGGACUACCUCCCGUUCGGGUCCGGCCGGAGGAUGUGCGCCGGGAUGGCCAUGGGGGAGAAGGUGAUGGUGUACUCGGUUGCCAUGCUGCUGCAGGCGUUCGACUGGA
Molecule: long non-coding RNA, 445 nt
Filed under: Oryza sativa (Asian cultivated rice)
Lineage: Eukaryota; Viridiplantae; Streptophyta; Magnoliopsida; Poales; Poaceae
Description: long non-coding RNA (OSAT_LNC001282)
Source: RNAcentral